GCGGAGGAUCCCCCCCCGCAGCCCGGGGGAGUCGCGGCCGUGUCCGCGGCAGCUCGCGAGCCCGGGGCGCGCAGGCUUCCCCGCUGCAGGGAGACGGGGGGGGCGCGGGGCCCCCGCCCUCUGCACAGCUCCAGAGGGGGUGCAGGGGCAGCCAUGCCCCCUUCCCCAAAUGUCAGUGCCCGGAGCUGCACGUGCCCCGUCCGGGGGAACCUGUGGCUCCCGCAGGACAAGGCUGCUCACGGCUUCUCCUGAACCCCUGGUUUCUCCCCACAGCCCAUCCCGGACUCCCCCGGAGGGGGGGGGGUCUCUGCAGCUCACGCGUCCCCCCCACACAGCCCAUCUGCUCCCCAGGGGCAUCCGUGCCUGGGUACGGGGGCAUCCGCGUGGGAAGGGCACCCCAGGGACCCCGCGGCCCCCGGGGGACGCCCAGGGGCUCGUGGGCCCUGCGGCCAGGGAAGGGGCUGCGCCCGGCACCCACCGGCCCCCAGCUCGGUGCUCCUGGCCCCCUCUGCCCCCUCCGCCUCUUUGUCCUCCCGAGCCCCUGCCACCGAGGGCUGCCGUGGGGCGACCACCUCCUCCCUGCUCAGGGCUGGUCUGAGACCUCCCACGCUCAUCGCACGGCAACUGAACGGCGGGAGCUGCAGCCGCCGGCUUUCAACCAGCUGUUGGAAAGUUAAAAAUUCCUCGGGAUCCCUCCACCCCUUGGAACCGGGUCUUUUCGGCCUCCCGGAUCCCGCAGCUGCGAGACAAUGUGCCCAGGGAAGCAGGACAGCUGACGCCACAUUUUCCAUUAUUAGACCCCAUCCGUCACCGACGCCACAAGGUGCCUGCGCCCGCACCUCGGCACCAGCUCACGCUUCGUCCCAGCCAGAGAGGGAGCUGGAAGGAGGCGGAGGGUGAACACACCAUCCCCAGGCAGCUGCGUGGGAGCAGAACACAAUUACGGCGUCUCUCCUUCCUCGCUGCCAGUGCAGCUCUGCUGCCCGGCCCUCCCCGCGCGCAGGAGAUGGGCGCUGCUGAGGACACAGCACGCCAAAGCCGUCCCUGGCCGGUGGCUCACCUGGGGCGACUGAUCCGCUCCCCAUGGAGCUCACCUCCACGGAGCUAACGUGUUUGACAAGUCAGCGUGGCCACCGCUGCGGCAAUGCAGAGCUACGGACAUGCCUGUCCACGCAAAGAAAGGAGAAGGAGGAUGAAGACCUGGUUGGUCUCCUCAGACCUCCUUGGAGAGCAUCCCUACCCGGGCUGCUGUGAACCUGAGCUGAAACCUUCUCUCCUCGCAUCCGGGGUCAGACAGGUCUCUCCAUCUCUGGUCCCAUAGAAAGCACAGAGCACGAGGUGACACUUCGGCAGGACUGGGGACAUGGGCACCCUCCUGUCUCCAGCCCUCGCACUUGGCCAAGAGCCUUACGGGACUUUGAUUUGUAGUGGCGGGUUCCCAGAAGUGCCCGUAGGCAGAAUCCUGGAGCUGCUCCUGGGCCAGUAAUUAAAACCCAGCCACUCUCCUGUCUCAAGAGCCUCCAGAUUUUGCUGUUUGUUUUAUGAAAAUGAUGACUCAGUUUUUAAACAGCAAAAGCCUGUGUUUAUAUGUGUUUUUCUGUCAAAAUGAACCAAAAAUCUGUUGCCAUCGGCUCCUCUUCUCA
Long non-coding RNA from Dromaius novaehollandiae (emu), 1643 nucleotides. RefSeq lists it as uncharacterized. The record is from RefSeq and is a predicted model, not a curated record. Lineage: Eukaryota; Metazoa; Chordata; Aves; Casuariiformes; Dromaiidae. The transcript is spliced from 2 exons.